This 400-nucleotide unclassified non-coding RNA is filed under the name uncultured fungus. Its description in RNAcentral is "sequence contains ITS1". The stretch from base 1 to 102 matches the Rfam family "5.8S ribosomal RNA", at positions 50 to 154 of the family's 154-position model. The record is from RNAcentral. Lineage: Eukaryota; Fungi.
AAAGUGCGAAAAGUGUCAUGACUUGCAGAUUCCCGAGAGCUGACAAAUCUCUGAAUGCAAAUGGCAGUCGCGUUAGACCCGACUAUGUAUUAUAGAGUGUAGAUGCUCCAGCUAUUCAUCAUCCUCUUUCAUAUAUGUUUUUCUAUAUGUCUGCUUUGGAUGGACCUGCGCUUGCGGAUGGAUGAGAGAGAGAGAUCUCCCUUCCGUUCGCGAGUGUGAAAAGAACAGGUCUACGUCCCAUCUCCUCUCUCUCUAGGGAUGAGGAUGACGGGAUGUGGCACCGAUGGGAAAGAACAUAUGAGGGAGAGUCUCGCUCUCUCUUGCAUGCUUCAAGAAAAUCGGCUGUCUCUAUAUCAAGACCGACAAAUCUUUUUUAUACAUCUUGAAUGAGCCACCUCUA